RNAcentral lists this ribosomal RNA (1472 nucleotides) under Klebsiella sp. Its description in RNAcentral is "bacterial SSU rRNA". It matches the Rfam family "Bacterial small subunit ribosomal RNA". The record is from RNAcentral. Lineage: Bacteria; Pseudomonadati; Pseudomonadota; Gammaproteobacteria; Enterobacterales; Enterobacteriaceae.
UGGCUCAGAUUGAACGCUGGCGGCAGGCCUAACACAUGCAAGUCGAGCGGUAGCACAGAGAGCUUGCUCUCGGGUGACGAGCGGCGGACGGGUGAGUAAUGUCUGGGAAACUGCCUGAUGGAGGGGGAUAACUACUGGAAACGGUAGCUAAUACCGCAUAACGUCGCAAGACCAAAGUGGGGGACCUUCGGGCCUCAUGCCAUCAGAUGUGCCCAGAUGGGAUUAGCUAGUAGGUGGGGUAACGGCUCACCUAGGCGACGAUCCCUAGCUGGUCUGAGAGGAUGACCAGCCACACUGGAACUGAGACACGGUCCAGACUCCUACGGGAGGCAGCAGUGGGGAAUAUUGCACAAUGGGCGCAAGCCUGAUGCAGCCAUGCCGCGUGUGUGAAGAAGGCCUUCGGGUUGUAAAGCACUUUCAGCGGGGAGGAAGGCGAUAAGGUUAAUAACCUUGUCGAUUGACGUUACCCGCAGAAGAAGCACCGGCUAACUCCGUGCCAGCAGCCGCGGUAAUACGGAGGGUGCAAGCGUUAAUCGGAAUUACUGGGCGUAAAGCGCACGCAGGCGGUCUGUCAAGUCGGAUGUGAAAUCCCCGGGCUCAACCUGGGAACUGCAUUCGAAACUGGCAGGCUAGAGUCUUGUAGAGGGGGGUAGAAUUCCAGGUGUAGCGGUGAAAUGCGUAGAGAUCUGGAGGAAUACCGGUGGCGAAGGCGGCCCCCUGGACAAAGACUGACGCUCAGGUGCGAAAGCGUGGGGAGCAAACAGGAUUAGAUACCCUGGUAGUCCACGCUGUAAACGAUGUCGAUUUGGAGGUUGUGCCCUUGAGGCGUGGCUUCCGGAGCUAACGCGUUAAAUCGACCGCCUGGGGAGUACGGCCGCAAGGUUAAAACUCAAAUGAAUUGACGGGGGCCCGCACAAGCGGUGGAGCAUGUGGUUUAAUUCGAUGCAACGCGAAGAACCUUACCUGGUCUUGACAUCCACAGAACUUUCCAGAGAUGGAUUGGUGCCUUCGGGAACUGUGAGACAGGUGCUGCAUGGCUGUCGUCAGCUCGUGUUGUGAAAUGUUGGGUUAAGUCCCGCAACGAGCGCAACCCUUAUCCUUUGUUGCCAGCGGUUAGGCCGGGAACUCAAAGGAGACUGCCAGUGAUAAACUGGAGGAAGGUGGGGAUGACGUCAAGUCAUCAUGGCCCUUACGACCAGGGCUACACACGUGCUACAAUGGCAUAUACAAAGAGAAGCGACCUCGCGAGAGCAAGCGGACCUCAUAAAGUAUGUCGUAGUCCGGAUUGGAGUCUGCAACUCGACUCCAUGAAGUCGGAAUCGCUAGUAAUCGUAGAUCAGAAUGCUACGGUGAAUACGUUCCCGGGCCUUGUACACACCGCCCGUCACACCAUGGGAGUGGGUUGCAAAAGAAGUAGGUAGCUUAACCUUCGGGAGGGCGCUUACCACUUUGUGAUUCAUGACUGGGGUGAA